GACGAACGCUGGCGGCGUGCUUAACACAUGCAAGUCGAACGGAAAGGCCCUGCUUUUGUGGGGUGCUCGAGUGGCGAACGGGUGAGUAACACGUGAGUAACCUGCCCUUGACUUUGGGAUAACUUCAGGAAACUGGGGCUAAUACCGGAUAGGAGCUCCUGCUGCAUGGUGGGGGUUGGAAAGUUGCGGCGGUUGGGGAUGGACUCGCGGCUUAUCAGCUUGUUGGGGGGGUAGUGGCUUACCAAGGCUUUGACGGUUGGCCGGCCUGGGAGUGUGACCGGCUCCAUAGGGCUACGGGAGGGACCAGACUCCUACGGGAGGCAGCAGUCGGGAAUAUUGCACAAUGGGCGGAAGCCUGAUGCAGCAACGCCGCGUGCGGGAUGACGGCCUUCGGGUUGUAAACCGCUUUCGCCUGUGACGAAGCGUGAGUGACGGUAAUGGGUAAAGAAGCACCGGCUAACUACGUG
RNAcentral lists this ribosomal RNA (467 nucleotides) under uncultured bacterium. Its description in RNAcentral is "partial 16S ribosomal RNA". It matches the Rfam family "Bacterial small subunit ribosomal RNA", at positions 28 to 507 of the family's 1533-position model. The record is from RNAcentral.